AUUGAACGCUGGCGGCAGGCCUAACACAUGCAAGUCGAACGGUAACAGGAAACAGCUUGCUGUUUCGCUGACGAGUGGCGGACGGGUGAGUAAUGUCUGGGAAACUGCCUGAUGGAGGGGGAUAACUACUGGAAACGGUAGCUAAUACCGCAUAACGUCGCAAGACCAAAGAGGGGGACCCUCGGGCCUCUUGCCAUCGGCUGUGCCCAGAUGGGAUUAGCUUGUUGGUGGGGUAACGGCUCACCAAGGCGACGAUCCCUAGCUGGUCUGAGAGGAUGACCGGCCACACUGGAACUGAGACACGGUCCAGACUCCUACGGGAGGCAGCAGUGGGGAAUAUUGCACAAUGGGCGCAAGCCUGAUGCAGCCAUGCCGCGUGUAUGAAGAAGGCCUUCGGGUUGUAAAGUACUCUCAGCGGGGAGGAAGGGAGUAAAGUUAAUACCUUUGCUCAUUGACGUUACCCGCAGAAGAAGCACCGGCUAACUCCGUG
This 490-nucleotide ribosomal RNA is filed under the name uncultured bacterium. Its description in RNAcentral is "partial 16S ribosomal RNA". It matches the Rfam family "Bacterial small subunit ribosomal RNA", at positions 30 to 507 of the family's 1533-position model. The record is from RNAcentral.